GCAUUAGUGGUUGUAAUGGUUAACAUGUGGUCUUCCCAAGAGCAUUGGCCGCGUUCGGGGUUCGAUUCCCCGCUAAUGCA
This 80-nucleotide transfer RNA is filed under the name Armillaria luteobubalina. Its description in RNAcentral is "tRNA-Gly". The record is from RNAcentral. Lineage: Eukaryota; Fungi; Basidiomycota; Agaricomycetes; Agaricales; Physalacriaceae.